Camellia sinensis is the source of this 233-nucleotide non-coding RNA. NCBI's taxonomy places the organism in Eukaryota, Viridiplantae, Streptophyta, Magnoliopsida, Ericales, Theaceae. The record is from RefSeq and is a predicted model, not a curated record.
UUUUAGAUGUUUACAUUUAUUAAAGCAGAUCAACAACAUAUUGGAGCUAUAAUUUUGUGCAUGUAGAAGGUGCUAGUGUGAGGAAGGUUAAAAAAGACAUUACUAGAAUAACUUUUUGUUCCAUCAUUGUAUGAUAUUACUUUAGGUGUUGUCAAGGCUACCAUUAUUGGAAUGAUUCUUUAGGAAAACUUGUGUUGACUGUUGCUAUUCUUUGGGCUUCACUACUAGAAAAG